GUUGGAUCAAACUAGAAUAUGCAAAAAUGGUCUUAGCAUACGAUUCAAACAGAAUAGAUCAUUACAUCAUCAUCAUAAUCAACAUUAAAAAGCUAAACAUUAAACAUCGAAAGUUUACGAUUACAAAAUUGCCACACCAUUCACUUGUGUCUAUUCACGGUUUAUGACUAAUCAAUCAUCACGAACUGGUGUAACACUGCGACUGGAGGUAUUGAUUUCUACUUUAGAAUCAAAACAACAUUUAGUGUUACUCACACAAGAUACGAUUUUGACAACUUUUUGACAAAACCACUGAAAAUGUACCGCAUGUACCGUUGUUGUUACCGUGCGUUCAUAGACGUUACUUUCAAAAGCCGUGCGUAAAUGGCAUCGAGGCCACGAGGGUCAGUGAAGCCUCAGUCUUAUAUUAAGGAGGCUACGCUAGAAGAUCAGUUAGUGCCAAAAUUUUGCGAAAAAAUGG
Molecule: long non-coding RNA, 460 nt
Organism: Bradysia coprophila
Lineage: Eukaryota; Metazoa; Arthropoda; Insecta; Diptera; Sciaridae
Source: RefSeq, a predicted model, not a curated record